GUGCUCGCUUCGGCAGCACAUACACCAAAAUUGGAAUGAUACAGAGAAGAUUAGCACGGCCCCUGCACAAGGAUGACAUGCAAAUUCGUGAAGCGUUCCAUAUUUCU
Molecule: small nuclear RNA, 107 nt
Filed under: Procavia capensis (Cape rock hyrax)
Lineage: Eukaryota; Metazoa; Chordata; Mammalia; Hyracoidea; Procaviidae
Source: RNAcentral